UGACCGUCCAUAAAUUUCCAUUUUUUGCCUCUUUUUUGGUCACACUCCAGUGGUCUCGAUUGGUGGUGUUACGCGCAUCAUCAACUGAACAUUGCCAUGAUGUGAAUACUGUUGAUACUGAUGAUGUGGAUGCUGAUGAUGUGGAUGAUGAUAAUGUUGAUGCCUCCGGACUGAAAUAGCUGGACAGUGCCAUGAUGUGGAAACUGUUCUUACUGAUGAUGUGGAUACUGUUCAUACUGAUGAUAUAAUGCUGAUAAUGUGGAUAUUGAUGAUGUAGAUGCCCCGGAUGAUCAACCAGGGACUAAUAGAGCUGGACAGUGCCAUGAUGUGAAUACUGUUGAUACUGAUGAUGGGGAUGCUGAUGAUGUGGAUGUUGAUGAUGUGGAUGCCUCCGUUGAUCAACCAGGGACUGAAAUAG
Mya arenaria is the source of this 418-nucleotide long non-coding RNA. RefSeq lists it as uncharacterized. NCBI's taxonomy places the organism in Eukaryota, Metazoa, Mollusca, Bivalvia, Myida, Myidae. The transcript has 4 exons. The record is from RefSeq and is a predicted model, not a curated record.